GCGCGGGUUGCCGAGCCAGGCCAAAGGCGUAGCGCUUAGGACGCUAUCCCGUAGGGGUCCGCCGGUUCGAAUCCGGUCCCGCGCAC
RNAcentral lists this transfer RNA (86 nucleotides) under Haloarcula japonica. RNAcentral's name for it is "tRNA-Leu". It matches the Rfam family "tRNA". From Rfam's summary of the family: Transfer RNA (tRNA) molecules are approximately 80 nucleotides in length. Their secondary structure includes four short double-helical elements and three loops (D, anti-codon, and T loops). RNAcentral also lists the same sequence under 7 other names. The record is from RNAcentral. Lineage: Archaea; Methanobacteriati; Methanobacteriota; Halobacteria; Halobacteriales; Haloarculaceae.